This 492-nucleotide ribosomal RNA is filed under the name uncultured bacterium. Its description in RNAcentral is "partial 16S ribosomal RNA". It matches the Rfam family "Bacterial small subunit ribosomal RNA", at positions 29 to 507 of the family's 1533-position model. The record is from RNAcentral.
AGUGAACGCUGGCGGUAGGCCUAACACAUGCAAGUCGAACGGCAGCACAGUAAGAGCUUGCUCUUACGGGUGGCGAGUGGCGGACGGGUGAGGAAUACAUCGGAAUCUACUUUUUCGUGGGGGAUAACGUAGGGAAACUUACGCUAAUACCGCAUACGACCUACGGGUGAAAGCAGGGGAUCUUCGGACCUUGCGCGAUUGAAUGAGCCGAUGUCGGAUUAGCUAGUUGGCGGGGUAAAGGCCCACCAAGGCGACGAUCCGUAGCUGGUCUGAGAGGAUGAUCAGCCACACUGGAACUGAGCCACGGUCCAGACUCCUCCGGGAGGCAGCAGUGGGGAAUAUUGGACAAAGGGCGCAAGCCUGACCCAGCCAUACCGCGUGGGUGAAGAAGGCCUUCGGGUUGUAAAGCCCUCUUGUUGGGAAAGAAAAGCAGCAGGUUAAUACCCCGCUGUUCUGACGGUACCCAAAGAAUAAGCACCGGCUAACUUCGUG